GGUAUAGCAGCAAAACAGGGACGGGUCCGCAACGCUGCCAGUACAGUCGUCAAAGUGAAACAAGUGCUCGGGAGAAGCUUUGAUGACCCAGAGAUACAAAGGCACAGAACGGAGACCAAAUGUCAGGUCGUCAGCAGAGACAACAAACCUUUUUAUGAGAUCACAUCAGGACAGCAGCCAAAGUACGUCGCUCCAGAAGAUGUCGCGAAGCUCAUCUUCCAGAAAAUGAAAG
Molecule: non-coding RNA, 232 nt
Organism: Neolamprologus brichardi
Lineage: Eukaryota; Metazoa; Chordata; Actinopteri; Cichliformes; Cichlidae
Source: RefSeq, a predicted model, not a curated record